GACGAACGCUGGCGGCGUGCCUAAUACAUGCAAGUUGAGCGCUGAAGGUUGGUACUUGUACCAACUGGAUGAGCAGCGAACGGGUGAGUAACGCGUGGGGAAUCUGCCUUUGAGCGGGGGACAACAUUUGGAAACGAAUGCUAAUACCGCAUAAAAACUUUAAACACAAGUUUUAAGUUUGAAAGAUGCAAUUGCAUCACUCAAAGAUGAUCCCGCGUUGUAUUAGCUAGUUGGUGAGGUAAAGGCCCACCAAGGCGAUGAUACAUAGCCGACCUGAGAGGGUGAUCGGCCACAUUGGGACUGAGACACGGCCCAAACUCCUACGGGAGGCAGCAGUAGGGAAUCUUCGGCAAUGGACGAAAGUCUGACCGAGCAACGCCGCGGGAGUGAAGAAGGGUUUCGGAUCGUAAAACUCUGUUGGUAGAGAAGAACGUUGGUGAGAGUGGAAAGCUCAUCAAGUGACGGUAACUACCCAGAAAGGGACGGCUAACUACGUG
RNAcentral lists this ribosomal RNA (497 nucleotides) under uncultured bacterium. RNAcentral's name for it is "partial 16S ribosomal RNA". It matches the Rfam family "Bacterial small subunit ribosomal RNA", at positions 28 to 507 of the family's 1533-position model. The record is from RNAcentral.